RNAcentral lists this ribosomal RNA (2143 nucleotides) under Triticum aestivum (bread wheat). Its description in RNAcentral is "partial small subunit ribosomal RNA". The record is from RNAcentral. Lineage: Eukaryota; Viridiplantae; Streptophyta; Magnoliopsida; Poales; Poaceae.
UCUCCUGGCUCGGGUGGGCGCUUUGGGAGGGCGAGGGCUCUUGCGGGGUCAGGGGUUGGGAGGAGAGGAAUAAGGCGCGGGGCUGGGGCUAGGGUUUGGGGAUAGUGGGAAAGGGCAUCACGCCUCGGCGGUGAGGGGUGGGGCGCCUGGUAAAGCGUUUGGAUCUAGGUUCGGGAGCAGCGGCCGGUACCGGUGGGCGGCCCGGUAGAGCAGCCAGGAUGCGUGGCGGAGGGCGUAGGCGCGGCGGAGGGGAAGGGGCACGGGGGCGCGCGGCGAGGUGGCGGGCAGGGGCCGGCCGAAGGACGAGUUGGCGCGGCGGCGGAUGAGCAGUAGGCGGCGCCGCGUCCGGCGAGGCCAGUGCGGCGGUGGGUGGAGGCUAUUCGUGUGGCCGUGAUUCUAAUGGCUACUUAAGUGGCCGCGGCCACGCCACCCACUCCACACGGUCCAGUAACCCCGGCACCACCUGCACGCCAAGCUGCUCCCAGAGGGGGGCUAGGACUGCCGCGACCUCCACGAGCUGUUGUCGUAGGCGGAACACGAGCUCCACCGUGUCGUAGAGCCCCUCUUGCAGCAGGCGUGGUAGCGAUACCUGCCCUGCCUUCCAGAGCAGGCGCCGGUCGCGCAGGAGUUGUGGCCGAGGGGCUAGUGACAGGGACAACCAUCCCGCUGAGAACCCGCAUAAUAGUUACAAUAACCACUCGGUUAACUAGUGUUCCCUCUAUAUUUUUGUUUGUCAAUGGACGGAUAGGUAGCACUUCGGGGACGAAAGCAACUCGUUCGAUGGCUCGUUGUUUAGGAACAAUGACCUUAAUUCCAACACCUAGAUGAACGUGGGAUAGUUUCUCCACCAUUUUAACCAGAGAAGCCACCACGUCCCCACCCGUUUUGACAGGAAUAAUACCUCAACUAAUUGUUGCAACGGUUCCGGGUACCACCAAAGAGACAGAAACGACCACAACCUCUUGCAUGUGCACUCCCAUUACUGAACAUGUCCCUUUACUAACUCUCACCACAGUAAUUCGAGCUGCUGUUCGUCUCACUCUCGUUCACACGAGAACACAUACCCGUUUACUUACUCGGGGGACCACGAGCACGAGCACAACCUGACUGACCAAACUGACAGCGACUCGUAAAGGCACUACGGCUUCCUGUCCUACACGAAGAGAAGUAACUAUUGUAAAAGGCAAAGUGAGUCCGUUUGAGACUCCACAGACGAGACGAACCUGCAUAAGGUAGACGACACCCUAUGGUUGGUUGGGAACGAUGGCUGGACCCUCCCGACGUCCUCGCCUAAUGGUGGUGUUUUUUCCCAAGAUAAUGUAGGCACGUUCGAUAAAUACACGGUCGACUACUGAACUGUCUAGGCCGGGGACGAUGGUGAAAACGGGUAGAACUACGAUGGUGGCACGACAGUGCUGUCUAAAGACUCGAGCCAUAAAUAGGACGACAGCUAGGAAACCUAAGGUGUAGGUCUUACAACAGAGGAGUACAAGAACCGCUCCGAGUGAUGUUGUGACGAGCACCACAAGUCUUCCAAGAAGUCUUAAUGUUCUUAGAAGUUCUAUAAUAACGGUAAAACCCUUACCUACUCGAGUCACUCCUGCUGUUCAAUUGUCAGCGAGCACGAUCCUUUUAAGUCGCCAAGGAAUCGGUUGGAAAGGUACAACGACUUCAAAAGUGUCCGCGUGGACCUUUCAUACAACUCGAAUUCCUCCCACAAGUUUCAAAGGUCCCACAAGACCUACCCUUUAUGCUACUGGAAAGUCUCGUCCGUAAGAUGUACCAACCUCCUUAUCUCCUCCAGUAACGGUUCCGACUCUUCUAACGGUUCCUCUUGCGAACUAUUCUUUGAAGGAGAAAUGUUCGUUGGACGUUAAAAUUGGAAAAGCACCGGGCCGGGACGACUACCUACAAAGGGGGGAGGUGAAAAAGGGCUUAUUCCUGAGCGUCACUGGAUAAAUAGACCGAAUGACGGGAAGUUCCUUCUCUCACAAGAGAAAAACACUGUGUACUCGCCGGUGUGGCACACGAACAAGAGCCACUUUUUUCUUUGACUUUAUAAACAGAGAGUACGACGACAGCAGCAUGCACAGCAUAUUCAGUACUCCCAACGGUAGCGUUCGUAUAAGAGAAAAGACACGAU